CAGUCACUGGAAAUAGCAAACGAGUUGGGAUUCAUGUUGGAAAAUGCCAGCUGCUUCCUCCGGAGCUCGGCAGCCCUGCGGUGGGGACACGGCUGGGCCUGGCUGGGGCACAGAGCUGGCUGUGCUGCUGGGGGCUCGGGAAAGGGUCCAAGCUCCUCCGAUUCAGACAUGGAACCUUUUGCAAUGUGUUUACAUCUCUCAUUGUGGGUAUAUAUUCUAUUUAAAGGUAUUUUUAAAGAAUAUAAAGUGUAAGCCUGGCUGAAGAGUGAUCCUACAACACGCAGGACUGAGCCCACCCCCUGGUCCAUUCCCAGAGCUGCCCCACUCCGUGGAUCCUUGUGGGAUGCUUGCAGGAACACCUGCCUUCAGGCUGACGGGAGUGCCUGCCCCCUGCUUCAUCAGAAGCCUCACAAAACAAGCCUGGUCCUAAAGCCCUGAGCACUAGAAGUGCACAGCUGAGAGCUGCAACCUUCACUUGGGAGGGUUGCAGGCAACCCCUGAGCUGCCAGAACCACGAGGCACAUCGGACACACCGAAUUUACCGGCUGCAAUUAUUCUUCUGUGACAAGUCAGUGCCUUGAGUUUUGAGGGUCUCGCUGGCCUGGGACUGGCGGUACUUUCCCAAGCCCCCGGGUUUGUGCCUGCCCACCUGCGGGGCAGGUGGCUGCCGAGCGGGGGGCUUUGCGUCAGGCUGUGCCCCGGCUCCAUCUGCUGCUGCGGGAGGCCAGGCAAUUAGCUCCCAGCUGCAUGUCACUCACGGCAACCAACAGAGCUGUUUUUGCAUUGCACCUCACUUGGCAAACACUGACUUGCGGGAAGGCACCUGCAGCAGGGGACAGAAGCAAGACCACAGCGUCUGGGUGUCGGUGCUGGCUCACAAGGAAGCGAAUGGCAGUGCCUGAGGUGCUGGAGGGGACCCACAGCCAUCACCCAGGGACGUGUUCCUUCAGGCCAGAAGUUGAAAUCCACCUCAGAGGCAGCCAAAAGCGAGUGAAGUCGAUGGAGCUGCUGCCAAAAAAGAGGCCUGCGACUGAAGCCAGCAUGGGUGAGGUUAGUCUAAGCCUGGAUUCAUGGCAGCGGAGACAGCCCGUGGCCUGGGACAUCCACGCUGCUGCUGUGCAGAGGAAGUCCAGGACACAGAGAAUGCAGCUGGGAACUGACGCGAGCAACCCUGCCAAGGAGCAAGCUAAACCACGGGCUAUACAGCUACAGGAAAGCAGAUAA
This 1224-nucleotide long non-coding RNA is filed under the name Anas platyrhynchos platyrhynchos (common mallard). Its description in RNAcentral is "lncRNA (ENSAPLG00000019335.1)". Lineage: Eukaryota; Metazoa; Chordata; Aves; Anseriformes; Anatidae. The record is from RNAcentral.